GAGUGAAGCUGCUCUCUGCUGGACUGGGGAAUCCCCACUGUAAACUGGAGACUCUGAGGCUGUCAGGCUGUCUAGCCACAGAGGAAGGCUGUGCUUCUCUGGUCUCAGUUCUCAGUUCAAACCCCUCACACAUGAGAGAGCUGGAUCUGAGUAACAAUGACCUGAAGGAUUCAGGAGUGAAGCUGCUCUCUGCUGGACUGGGGAAUCCCCACUGUAAACUGGAGACUCUGAGGCUGUCAGGCUGUCUAGUCACAGAGGAAGGCUGUGCUUCUCUGGUCUCAGCUCUGA
Oncorhynchus mykiss (rainbow trout) is the source of this 288-nucleotide non-coding RNA. Lineage: Eukaryota; Metazoa; Chordata; Actinopteri; Salmoniformes; Salmonidae. The record is from RefSeq and is a predicted model, not a curated record.